UUAAAAUAUCGGCUCCCGUACGAUCACCGUAGUUAAGUAACCUCAUUCCUAUUUAGUACCUAGAUGGGUGACCACUUGGGAAUACCAGGUACUGG
This is a non-coding RNA of Acanthosepion pharaonis, 95 nucleotides long. Lineage: Eukaryota; Metazoa; Mollusca; Cephalopoda; Sepiida; Sepiidae. The record is from the annotation of a GenBank genome assembly.